GACGAGCGCUGGCGGCGUGCUUAACACAUGCAAGUCGAACGGAAAGGCCCUUCGGGGUACUCGAGUGGCGAACGGGUGAGUAACACGUGGGUGAUCUGCCCUGCACUUUGGGAUAAGCCUGGGAAACUGGGUCUAAUACCGGAUAGGACCACGGCAUUCAUGUGCUGUGGUGGAAAGCUUUUGCGGUGUGGGAUGGGCCCGCGGCCUAUCAGCUUGUUGGUGGGGUAAUGGCCUACCAAGGCGACGACGGGUAGCCGGCCUGAGAGGGUGACCGGCCACACUGGGACUGAGAUACGGCCCAGACUCCUACGGGAGGCAGCAGUGGGGAAUAUUGCACAAUGGGCGCAAGCCUGAUGCAGCGACGCCGCGUGAGGGAUGACGGCCUUCGGGUUGUAAACCUCUUUCGCCAGGGACGAAGCGCAAGUGACGGUACCUGGAGAAGAAGGACCGGCCAACUACGUG
RNAcentral lists this ribosomal RNA (462 nucleotides) under uncultured bacterium. RNAcentral describes it as "partial 16S ribosomal RNA". It matches the Rfam family "Bacterial small subunit ribosomal RNA", at positions 28 to 507 of the family's 1533-position model. The record is from RNAcentral.